This 450-nucleotide ribosomal RNA is filed under the name Labidura riparia. Its description in RNAcentral is "partial 16S ribosomal RNA". Lineage: Eukaryota; Metazoa; Arthropoda; Insecta; Dermaptera; Labiduridae. The record is from RNAcentral.
AAAAUUUUCAGCUUGUCUGAAUUCUAAAUCCGACGACGUGGAUCAGAAAGGGAAUUAGGUUGUAGCUCCAGCGUUGGGAAGAACAGUUAUACUUGAGAGUUUCUUCUAAUGCGACAAUAGGGAUUCCAUAGAACAAGACGAAAGCCUAGUGGCCUAGAAGUUAGGUUAAUAGAAACAGAUCAGUGCUUUUCAAGAAAGACAAAAAGAUUAGUGGGGUUAAGUUGUAUUGAAAGGUAUUAAUAUUGGAAGGAAUUAAUAUUAAGAUUUUUAUAUACAUUUCUAGAUAUCCCAGAAGAGCAGAUAAAUUGAAUAGAGACGAAAAAAUGUCUUUUUAGUUUAAGAUUUUGAAUCAAACUCUGUCUUAAAUAAAGUAAUUUAGAAAGUAAGGUCGGAGGUUAAUUUUCCGAUGACUAAUACGAUGGAAACGUGCCAGUUUUAUGGCGCCGGGAA